GAUGAAUGCUGGCGGCGUGCCUAAUACAUGCAAGUCGAGCGAACAGAUGAGGAGCUUGCUCCUCUGACGUUAGCGGCGGACGGGUGAGUAACACGUGGAUAACCUACCUAUAAGACUGGGAUAACUUCGGGAAACCGGAGCUAAUACCGGAUAAUAUAUUGAACCGCAUGGUUCAAUAGUGAAAGACGGUUUUGCUGUCACUUAUAGAUGGAUCCGCGCCGCAUUAGCUAGUUGGUAAGGUAACGGCUUACCAAGGCAACGAUGCGUAGCCGACCUGAGAGGGUGAUCGGCCACACUGGAACUGAGACACGGUCCAGACUCCUACGGGAGGCAGCAGUAGGGAAUCUUCCGCAAAGGGCGAAAGCCUGACGGAGCAACGCCGCGUGAGUGAUGAAGGUCUUCGGAUCGUAAAACUCUGUUAUUAGGGAAGAACAAAUGUGUAAGUAACUAUGCACGUCUUGACGGUACCUAAUCAGAAAGCCACGGCUAACUACGUG
This 497-nucleotide ribosomal RNA is filed under the name uncultured bacterium. RNAcentral's name for it is "partial 16S ribosomal RNA". It matches the Rfam family "Bacterial small subunit ribosomal RNA", at positions 28 to 507 of the family's 1533-position model. The record is from RNAcentral.